RNAcentral lists this ribosomal RNA (422 nucleotides) under uncultured bacterium. Its description in RNAcentral is "bacterial SSU rRNA". It matches the Rfam family "Bacterial small subunit ribosomal RNA", at positions 355 to 774 of the family's 1533-position model. The record is from RNAcentral.
UGAGGAAUAUUGGGCAAUGCCCGCAAGGGUGACCCAGCAACGCCGCGUGGAGGAUGAAUGUCGUAAGAUUGUAAACUCCUGUUAGAGGGGAAGAAUAGUACCGGUUGGACCGGUAUAUGACUGUACCCCCAGAGAAAGCCCCGGCUAACUACGUGCCAGCAGCCGCGGUAAUACGUAGGGGGCAAGCGUUGUCCGGAUUUACUGGGAGUAAAGGGCGCGCAGGCGGGAUAAAAAGUCAGUGGUGAAAUCCUACAGCUUAACUGUAGAACUGCCUUUGAUACUUUUAUUCUUGAGUUCGGGAGAGAGAGACGGAAUUCCAGGUGUAGUGGUGAAAUACGUAGAUAUCUGGAAGAACACCAGUUGCGAAGGCGGUCUCUUGGUCCGACACUGACGCUGAGGCGCGAAAGCGUGGGGAGCAAACA